CCUACGGGUGGCAGCAGUGGGGAAUAUUGGACAAUGGGGGGAACCCUGAUCCAGCCAUGCCGCGUGUGUGAAGAAGGCCCUCGGGUUGUAAAGCACUUUCAGUGAGGAAGAACGCCUGGUGGUUAAUACCCAUCAGGAAAGACAUCACUCACAGAAGAAGCACCGGCUAACUCCGUGCCAGCAGCCGCGGUAAUACGGAGGGUGCGAGCGUUAAUCGGAAUUACUGGGCGUAAAGCACGCGUAGGUGGCUUGAUAAGCCGGUUGUGAAAGCCCCGGGCUCAACCUGGGAACGGCAUCCGGAACUGUCAAGCUAGAGUGCAGGAGAGGAAGGUAGAAUUCCCGGUGUAGCGGUGAAAUGCGUAGAGAUCGGGAGGAAUACCAGUGGCGAAGGCGGCCUUCUGGACUGACACUGACACUGAGGUGCGAAAGCGUGGGUAGCAAACAGGAUUAGAUACCCUUGUAGUC
Molecule: ribosomal RNA, 465 nt
Filed under: Vreelandella stevensii
Lineage: Bacteria; Pseudomonadati; Pseudomonadota; Gammaproteobacteria; Oceanospirillales; Halomonadaceae
Description: partial 16S ribosomal RNA
Rfam family: Bacterial small subunit ribosomal RNA
Source: RNAcentral